This 465-nucleotide ribosomal RNA is filed under the name Vreelandella stevensii. Its description in RNAcentral is "partial 16S ribosomal RNA". It matches the Rfam family "Bacterial small subunit ribosomal RNA", at positions 338 to 795 of the family's 1533-position model. The record is from RNAcentral. Lineage: Bacteria; Pseudomonadati; Pseudomonadota; Gammaproteobacteria; Oceanospirillales; Halomonadaceae.
CCUACGGGAGGCUGCAGUGGGGAAUAUUGGACAAUGGGGGGAACCCUGAUCCAGCCAUGCCGCGUGUGUGAAGAAGGCCCUCGGGUUGUAAAGCACUUUCAGUGAGGAAGAACGCCUGGUGGUUAAUACCCAUCAGGAAAGACAUCACUCACAGAAGAAGCACCGGCUAACUCCGUGCCAGCAGCCGCGGUAAUACGGAGGGUGCGAGCGUUAAUCGGAAUUACUGGGCGUAAAGCGCGCGUAGGUGGCUUGAUAAGCCGGUUGUGAAAGCCCCGGGCUCAACCUGGGAACGGCAUCCGGAACUGUCAAGCUAGAGUGCCGGAGAGGAAGGUAGAAUUCCCGGUGUAGCGGUGAAAUGCGUAGAGAGCGGGAGGAAUACCAGUGGCGAAGGCGGCCUUCUGGACUGACACUGACACUGAGGUGCGAAAGCGUGGGUAGCAAACAGGAUUAGAUACCCUUGUAGUC